GUGCUCGCUUUGGCAGCACAUAUACUAAAAUUGGAACAAUACAGAGAUUAGAGUGGCACAUUAGCAAGGAUGCCAUGCAAAUUCAUGAAGCGUUCCAUAUAAAA
Molecule: small nuclear RNA, 104 nt
Organism: Pteronotus mesoamericanus
Lineage: Eukaryota; Metazoa; Chordata; Mammalia; Chiroptera; Mormoopidae
Source: RefSeq, a predicted model, not a curated record